RNAcentral lists this ribosomal RNA (271 nucleotides) under uncultured prokaryote. RNAcentral describes it as "partial 16S ribosomal RNA". It matches the Rfam family "Bacterial small subunit ribosomal RNA", at positions 524 to 794 of the family's 1533-position model. The record is from RNAcentral.
UACGUAGGUGGCAAGCGUUGUCCGGAAUUACUGGGUGUAAGGGGAGCGCAGGCGGGGAAGCAAGUCGGCUGUGAAAUGCAUAGGCUUAACCUAUGAAUUGCAGUUGAAACUGUUUUUCUUGAGUGGAGUAGAGGUAGGCGGAAUUCCGAGUGUAGCGGUGAAAUGCGUAGAUAUUCGGAGGAACACCAGUGGCGAAGGCGGCCUACUGGGCUCUAACUGACGCUGAGGCUCGAAAGUGUGGGGAGCAAACAGGAUUAGAUACCCUGGUAGU